RNAcentral lists this transfer RNA (69 nucleotides) under Dunckerocampus dactyliophorus (ringed pipefish). RNAcentral's name for it is "tRNA-Ala". It matches the Rfam family "tRNA". Rfam says of the family: Transfer RNA (tRNA) molecules are approximately 80 nucleotides in length. Their secondary structure includes four short double-helical elements and three loops (D, anti-codon, and T loops). Further hydrogen bonds mediate the characteristic L-shaped molecular structure. tRNAs have two regions of fundamental functional importance: the anti-codon, which is responsible for specific mRNA codon recognition, and the 3' end, to which the tRNAs corresponding amino acid is attached (by aminoacyl-tRNA synthetases). tRNAs cope with the degeneracy of the genetic code in two manners: having more than one tRNA (with a specific anti-codon) for a particular amino acid; and 'wobble' base-pairing, i.e. permitting non-standard base-pairing at the 3rd anti-codon position. Lineage: Eukaryota; Metazoa; Chordata; Actinopteri; Syngnathiformes; Syngnathidae. The record is from RNAcentral.
AAGGUUUUAGCUUAAUUAAAGUGUCUGUUUUGCAUGCAGUGGAUGUGGGGUAGUAUCCCGCAAAUCUUA